RNAcentral lists this ribosomal RNA (117 nucleotides) under Oryza punctata. Lineage: Eukaryota; Viridiplantae; Streptophyta; Magnoliopsida; Poales; Poaceae. The record is from RNAcentral.
GGGUGCAAUCAUACCAGCACUAAAGCACCAGAUCUCAUCAGAACUCUGAAGUUAAGCGUGCUUAGGUUAGAGUAGUACUAGGAUGGGUGACCUCUGAAGUUAAGCGAGUAGUACUAG